UACGUAGGGCGCAAGCGUUGUCCGGAAUUAUUGGGCGUAAAGAGCUCGUAGGCGGCUUGUCACGUCGGGUGUGAAAGCCCGGGGCUUAACCCUGGGUCUGCAUUCGAUACGGGCUAGCUAGAGUGUGGUAGGGGAGAUCGGAAUUCCUGGUGUAGCGGUGAAAUGCGCAGAUAUCAGCAGGAACACCGGUGGCGAAGGCGGAUCUCUGGGCCAUUACUGACGCUGAGGAGCGAAAGCGUGGGGAGCGAACAGG
RNAcentral lists this ribosomal RNA (253 nucleotides) under uncultured bacterium. RNAcentral describes it as "partial 16S ribosomal RNA". It matches the Rfam family "Bacterial small subunit ribosomal RNA", at positions 524 to 776 of the family's 1533-position model. The record is from RNAcentral.